GUGCUCGCUUUGGCAGCACAUAUACUAAAAUUGGAACGAUACAGAGAAGAUUAGCAUGGCCCCUGCACAAGGAUGACACGCAAACUUGUGAAGCGUUCCAUAUUUUU
RNAcentral lists this small nuclear RNA (107 nucleotides) under Phocoena sinus (vaquita). Lineage: Eukaryota; Metazoa; Chordata; Mammalia; Artiodactyla; Phocoenidae. RNAcentral also lists the same sequence under 1 other name. The record is from RNAcentral.